CCCGAUGUGACAGAAAAAUGUACUAGAUUUAAAAUCUAUAAAUGGCUUAGCCCUUCGGUA
RNAcentral lists this transfer RNA (60 nucleotides) under Pseudoniphargus pedrerae. RNAcentral describes it as "tRNA-Leu". The record is from RNAcentral. Lineage: Eukaryota; Metazoa; Arthropoda; Malacostraca; Amphipoda; Allocrangonyctidae.